Oncorhynchus tshawytscha (Chinook salmon) is the source of this 1479-nucleotide long non-coding RNA. The record is from Ensembl. Lineage: Eukaryota; Metazoa; Chordata; Actinopteri; Salmoniformes; Salmonidae.
CAGACUAAACGGCUGGCCCUCAUCAACGCUCUGGAGACAAGCUAUCUGUUCGUCCUCGGGUUUAUCGACUGAGAAAGGAUGAACCUGGGACUCAUCAACGCUCUGGAGACAAGCUAUCUGUUCGUCCUCGGGUUUAUCGACUGAGAAAGGAUGAACCUGGGACUCAUCAACGCUCUGGAGACAAGCUAUCUGUUCGUCCUCGGUUUUAUCGACUGAGAAAGGAUGAACCUGGGACUCAUCAACGCUCUGGAGACAAGCUAUCUGUUCGUCCUCGGUUUUAUCGACUGAGAAAGGAUGAAACUGGGACUCAUCAACGCUCUGGAGACAAGCUAUCUGUUAGACAGUAGAAACAGUAGAACAGUAGAAAAAUAGCCAAAGACAGAACAGAAUGGGCAUGUCCCCACUGCAAUGCAAUGUAUCAUUACUAAUGGAGAACGGUAUGUUUUAACUAGGCAAGUCAGUUAAGAACAUUUAUUUGUAUUUUUAUAAUGACGGCCUACAUCGGCCAAUUGUACGCCGCCCUAUGGGGACUCCCAAUCACGUGCCUUAGACGUAAUCCAUUUCCUGACUAAUACAACCUAAAGAGUUCAAUGUAUUCUUGGUCUGACAUGAGAAAACAUACAGCUAAUGUAGCUAAAAUGUCAAGGGCAAUUCCACAGUAAGGAAAUGACACUUUGACUCAGAUUUGUUCACUUUAAAAUGUAUGCCAAACUGAUUUCAAAGUUUAACAAACCAUACAACUCUAUACACAAGGGCUUUUUAUUUUAUUUUUUAAAACAAUUUAUACAGAACAUUUCACAAAAACACAUUUUCUGGAAGAGCAAAGUUUUGGUCUUAGCUUUUUUUUUAAUGCGAAAGUCACCCAGUAAAAUACUACUACUAGUAAAAGUCUAAAAGUAUUUGGUUGUAAAUAUACUUACGUAUCAAAAGUAAAAGUAUAAACAAUUUUAAAUUCCUUACAUAAAGCAAAACAGAAAGCAUGAUUUUCUUGUUUUUUAAAUUUAACGAAUAUCCAGGGGCACACGCCAACACUCAGAUGUAAUUUACAAACAGUGUGUGUGUUUAGUGAGUCCUCCAGAUCAAAGGCAGUAGGGAUGACCAGGGAUGUUCUCUGUUUAGUGAGUCCUCCAGAUCAGAGGCAGUAGGGAUGACCAGGGAUGUUCUCUGUUUAGUGAGUCCUCCAGAUCAGAGGCAGUAGGGAUGACCAGGGAUGUUCUCUGUUUAGUGAGUCCUCCAGAUCAGAGACAGCAGGGAUGACCAGGGAUGUUCUCUGUUUAGUGAGUCCUCCAGAUCAGAGGCAGUAGGGAUGACCAGGGAUGUUCUCUGUUUAGUGAGUCCUCCAGAUCAGACGCAGUAGGGAUGACCAGGGAUGUUCUCUGUUUAGUGAGUCCUCCAGAUGAGAGGCAGUAGGGAUGACCAGGGAUGUUCUCUGUUUAGUGAGUCCUCCAGAUCAGAGGCAGUAGGGAUGACCAGGGAUGU